CAGGAAUUUUCCUGGCUUCAAUGCAUUGGAAAUUUCCCAUUAGAUGUUUAUCCAGAUUUAACUCAAGGUCUGCACAUGAAUUAUUCAGGCCGUGCCUGGGGCUGUCAUUCACCUUCCCUACAAGCAGCCAGAGGCAAAUGAAGCAUGACUUACUGCCAGAAAGCAAGCAGUUUGAUCUCUGGAAUUGA
This 188-nucleotide long non-coding RNA is filed under the name Anser brachyrhynchus (Pink-footed goose). Its description in RNAcentral is "lncRNA (ENSABRG00000021149.1)". The record is from RNAcentral. Lineage: Eukaryota; Metazoa; Chordata; Aves; Anseriformes; Anatidae.